GACGAACGCUGGCGGCGUGCUUAACACAUGCAAGUCGAACGGAAAGGCCCUGCUUUUGUGGGGUGCUCGAGUGGCGAACGGGUGAGUAACACGUGAGUAACCUGCCCUUGACUUUGGGAUAACUUCAGGAAACUGGGGCUAAUACCGGAUAGGAGCUCCUGCUGCAUGGUGGGGGUUGGAAAGUUUCGGCGGUUGGGGAUGGACUCGCGGCUUAUCAGCUUGUUGGUGGGGUAGUGGCUUACCAAGGCUUUGACGGGUAGCCGGCCCGAGAGGGUGACCGGCCACAUUGGGACUGAGAUACGGCCCAGACUCCUACGGGAGGCAGCAGUGGGGAAUAUUGCACAAUGGGCGGAAGCCUGAUGCAGCAACGCCGCGUGCGGGAUGACGGCCUUCGGGUUGUAAACCGCUUUCGCCUGUGACGAGGCGUGAGUGACGGUAAUGGGUAAAGAAGCACCGGCUAACUACGUG
This 468-nucleotide ribosomal RNA is filed under the name uncultured bacterium. Its description in RNAcentral is "partial 16S ribosomal RNA". It matches the Rfam family "Bacterial small subunit ribosomal RNA", at positions 28 to 507 of the family's 1533-position model. The record is from RNAcentral.